This 1176-nucleotide ribosomal RNA is filed under the name Staphylococcus aureus. RNAcentral's name for it is "bacterial SSU rRNA". It matches the Rfam family "Bacterial small subunit ribosomal RNA", at positions 92 to 1254 of the family's 1533-position model. The record is from RNAcentral. Lineage: Bacteria; Bacillati; Bacillota; Bacilli; Caryophanales; Staphylococcaceae.
UUAGCGGCGGACGGGUGAGUAACACGUGGAUAACCUACCUAUAAGACUGGGAUAACUUCGGGAAACCGGAGCUAAUACCGGAUAAUAUUUUGAACCGCAUGGUUCAAAAGUGAAAGACGGUCUUGCUGUCACUUAUAGAUGGAUCCGCGCUGCAUUAGCUAGUUGGUAAGGUAACGGCUUACCAAGGCAACGAUGCAUAGCCGACCUGAGAGGGUGAUCGGCCACACUGGAACUGAGACACGGUCCAGACUCCUACGGGAGGCAGCAGUAGGGAAUCUUCCGCAAUGGGCGAAAGCCUGACGGAGCAACGCCGCGUGAGUGAUGAAGGUCUUCGGAUCGUAAAACUCUGUUAUUAGGGAAGAACAUAUGUGUAAGUAACUGUGCACAUCUUGACGGUACCUAAUCAGAAAGCCACGGCUAACUACGUGCCAGCAGCCGCGGUAAUACGUAGGUGGCAAGCGUUAUCCGGAAUUAUUGGGCGUAAAGCGCGCGUAGGCGGUUUUUUAAGUCUGAUGUGAAAGCCCACGGCUCAACCGUGGAGGGUCAUUGGAAACUGGAAAACUUGAGUGCAGAAGAGGAAAGUGGAAUUCCAUGUGUAGCGGUGAAAUGCGCAGAGAUAUGGAGGAACACCAGUGGCGAAGGCGACUUUCUGGUCUGUAACUGACGCUGAUGUGCGAAAGCGUGGGGAUCAAACAGGAUUAGAUACCCUGGUAGUCCACGCCGUAAACGAUGAGUGCUAAGUGUUAGGGGGUUUCCGCCCCUUAGUGCUGCAGCUAACGCAUUAAGCACUCCGCCUGGGGAGUACGACCGCAAGGUUGAAACUCAAAGGAAUUGACGGGGACCCGCACAAGCGGUGGAGCAUGUGGUUUAAUUCGAAGCAACGCGAAGAACCUUACCAAAUCUUGACAUCCUUUGACAACUCUAGAGAUAGAGCCUUCCCCUUCGGGGGACAAAGUGACAGGUGGUGCAUGGUUGUCGUCAGCUCGUGUCGUGAGAUGUUGGGUUAAGUCCCGCAACGAGCGCAACCCUUAAGCUUAGUUGCCAUCAUUAAGUUGGGCACUCUAAGUUGACUGCCGGUGACAAACCGGAGGAAGGUGGGGAUGACGUCAAAUCAUCAUGCCCCUUAUGAUUUGGGCUACACACGUGCUACAAUGGACAAUACAAAGGGCAGCGAAA